GAGAAGGGCUGGUUGCAGCCCAUGCUGUGCCAGCCCUGGGGGCUGGAGUGAAAUUUUGCUUCUGCAGAACGACUCGCCAUCUGGAGAGGCUCAAAAAGGGAUCUGUUUCCAUUUUCGGUAAAGGAAGCGAGGGAAAAGAUUUCCAGGGAAGAAUAUUCAAAGGUAUUAGCUAUGGAGAUUUAUGCCCUGCUUUACGACAGCCGACGGGGAUUUGGUGAAUAAGCGUUACAGGAGGAUGCUAGAAGGAACCCAUAGGUGCUGAGAAUGGGGGCUUUUCAGGACAGAGAUAUAUUUUGUGGGAAUCAUAUACAUAGACUGGAUAUUGUCCUUCCCUUUACUCAGAAGAGCAGUUACUGAGGCUGAAGAAAUAAUAUGCCUCAGGAAGUAAGUGAUGGGACUGGCAAACAAUAUGGAACUUGAAGUUUAGAUAGACAGAAAGAAACACAAUCAUUUCUUGUGAUGUUUUGAGAAUAGAUCCUCAAAAUGUGCCCAUUAUCAUGUAUAAAUACUUUCAGAACAUGUUUGUUCUACAAACUCUUCUUGGAUGGGGAUUUACAUAUAAUAACGUUUGUGUGGUAAACAUUUAGGAACUCUGCCUCCUGCUCAGUAACUAAUUAAAGCAGAAAUAUUUGGCGAUUAUAGAAACAAAACUUAAUGCCAUUUGAUUUCUGAAUGUUGCGAAUCAAAAUGUACCAUAUGUGACUAUUCUGCAACAUGUGUAAAAAACAAAUGUUUGUAAGGAAUUCAGUGUUCAUGUUUCAAUAAUAAAGUUUUG
RNAcentral lists this long non-coding RNA (775 nucleotides) under Anas platyrhynchos platyrhynchos (common mallard). RNAcentral's name for it is "lncRNA (ENSAPLG00000026769.1)". The record is from RNAcentral. Lineage: Eukaryota; Metazoa; Chordata; Aves; Anseriformes; Anatidae.